This is a non-coding RNA of Cinara cedri, 619 nucleotides long. The record is from the annotation of a GenBank genome assembly. Lineage: Eukaryota; Metazoa; Arthropoda; Insecta; Hemiptera; Aphididae.
CGCGGUCGGGCGCGAACGCCGCGUAAAAAUUAAUAUUUAGUUGCGCGAAAUCAUUACCUUGACCCGAGACUCCUCCGGGACGGGCGUUCAGCCAGAACAGCAGCGCCAAGACCAAAAUCGCGGGACGGCUGACCGUCGCGGCCACGGUUCCGGCCAUCAUCAUCACCGGUGUCGCGGUGAACGCGAGAAGACGAAACGGAGAAAAAAACCCGAGGGAGAAAAGAUCGGCGCGGCGAAACGUUUGUCGCGGGAGCGUACGCGGUACGGUCGUACGGCAGAGACGGACGGCCGACGGGUGCGAUCGACGGCGAAAACAGUAGCGGCAGUACAAUGCGAAACGCGAAACGCGAAAAAAAAAAAAUAAAUAAAAUUACAAAGACAAUAUUCACGCGUAAAAAUAAAUAUUUAUCGUCGCGGUAAUACGCGGCGGAGGUUCGGUGUCGGGGACGAGUGUCGUCAACCGGCGUCGUACAUCGCGAACGGCGGGUACUGGCGUAACGGCACGGGGAUUCGCACUGGCCGGUCUCGGGCGCUCGCGGAACACGUCUGGCGUCGCGGGCAGAAUACGCGGACGGACGCGCUCGGGCGGCGAAACGGCGAGCGGGGUUGGUGACGACGA